GUAGGUGAACCUGCGGAAGGAUCAUUCACAAUAAGUGUUUAUGGCACUUUCAAAUCCAUACCCACCUUGUGUGCAAUGUAUAAGAGUCCUUUCCAACUCGGAUUGGACUUGAUUUUUCUCUCACACGUCUUCAAUUGCAAGUCUAAGCUUUCAGAGUAAUCAAAAAAAACUCGAAUACAACUUUCAACAACGGAUCUCUUGGCUCUCGCAUCGAUGAAGAACGCAGCAUCUGACUGACUCGACAGCUGAC
This 250-nucleotide unclassified non-coding RNA is filed under the name plant metagenome. Its description in RNAcentral is "partial contains small subunit ribosomal RNA, internal transcribed spacer 1, and 5.8S ribosomal RNA". The stretch from base 179 to 250 matches the Rfam family "5.8S ribosomal RNA", at positions 1 to 54 of the family's 154-position model. The record is from RNAcentral.